Gorilla gorilla gorilla (western lowland gorilla) is the source of this 356-nucleotide non-coding RNA. It matches the Rfam family "Metazoan signal recognition particle RNA". From Rfam's summary of the family: The signal recognition particle (SRP) is a universally conserved ribonucleoprotein. It is involved in the co-translational targeting of proteins to membranes. The eukaryotic SRP consists of a 300-nucleotide 7S RNA and six proteins: SRPs 72, 68, 54, 19, 14, and 9. The record is from Rfam. NCBI's taxonomy places the organism in Eukaryota, Metazoa, Chordata, Mammalia, Primates, Hominidae.
GCUGGGCUUGGUGGCGCGUGCCUGUAAUCCCAGCUACCUGGGAGGCUGAGGCAGGGGAAUCACUUGAACCCGGGAGGCGGAGGUUGUGGUGAGCUGAGAUCACACCACUGCACUCCAGCCUGUCGACAGAGCAAGACUUCAUCUCAAAAAAAAAAAAAAAGUCUGUGUCUUGUGUCCAUGGCCUUAAUAUGGUGACUUCUCGGGAGUGGGGGACCGCCAGCUUGCUUAAGGUGAAGUGAACCAGCCCAGGUUAGAAACAGAGCAGGUCAAAACUUGCGUGCUGAUUAGUAAUGUGAUUGUGCCUAUGAAAAGCUGCUGCACUCCAACCUGGGCAACAUAGUGAGACUCUGUCUCUU